UACGUAGGGUGCGAGCGUUAAUCGGAAUUACUGGGCGUAAAGCGUGCGCAGGCGGUUUUAUAAGCCAGAUGUGAAAUCCCCGGGCUUAACCUGGGAAUGGCAUUUGGGACUGCAAGGCUUGAGUGCGGCAGAGGAGACUGGAAUUCCUGGUGUAGCAGUGAAAUGCGUAGAUAUCAGGAGGAACACCGGUGGCGAAGGCGGGUCUCUGGGCCGAUAUUGACGCUGAGGAGCGAAAGCGUGGGGAGCAAACAGG
Molecule: ribosomal RNA, 253 nt
Filed under: uncultured bacterium
Lineage: Bacteria
Description: partial 16S ribosomal RNA
Rfam family: Bacterial small subunit ribosomal RNA
Source: RNAcentral